AGCAGUAGCCACGGUAAUACGUAGGUGGCAAGCGUUGUCCGGAAUUAUUGGGCGUAAAGGGCUCGCAGGCGGUUUCUUAAGUCUGAUGUGAAAGCCCCCGGCUCAACCGGGGAGGGUCAUUGGAAACUGGGAAACUUGAGUGCAGAAGAGGAGAGUGGAAUUCCACGUGUAGCGGUGAAAUGCGUAGAGAUGUGGAGGAACACCAGUGGCGAAGGCGACUCUCUGGUCUGUAACUGACGCUGAGGAGCGAAAGCGUGGGGAGCGAACAGGAUUAGAUACCCCUGUAGUCCCUGUCUCUUAUAA
Molecule: ribosomal RNA, 303 nt
Filed under: uncultured bacterium
Lineage: Bacteria
Description: partial 16S ribosomal RNA
Rfam family: Bacterial small subunit ribosomal RNA
Source: RNAcentral